This 301-nucleotide ribosomal RNA is filed under the name uncultured bacterium. Its description in RNAcentral is "bacterial SSU rRNA". It matches the Rfam family "Bacterial small subunit ribosomal RNA", at positions 511 to 811 of the family's 1533-position model. The record is from RNAcentral.
GCAGCCGCGGUAAUACGGGGGGUGCAAGCGUUGUUCGGAAUCAUUGGGCGCAAAGAGCGUGUAGGCGGCUCGAUCAGUCAGAUGUGAAAGCCCCGGGCUUAACCCGGGAAGUGCAUUUGAAACUGUCUUGCUCGAGUAGGGGAGAGGGAAGUGGAAUUCCUGGUGUAGAGGUGAAAUUCGUAGAUAUCAGGAGGAACACCGGUGGCGAAGGCGACUUCCUGGCCCUAUACUGACGCUGAGACGCGAGAGCGUGGGUAGCAAACAGGAUUAGAUACCCUGGUAGUCCACGCCGUAAACGAUG